RNAcentral lists this ribosomal RNA (489 nucleotides) under uncultured bacterium. RNAcentral's name for it is "partial 16S ribosomal RNA". It matches the Rfam family "Bacterial small subunit ribosomal RNA", at positions 29 to 507 of the family's 1533-position model. The record is from RNAcentral.
AGUGAACGCUGGCGGUAGGCCUAACACAUGCAAGUCGAACGGCAGCACAGGAGAGCUUGCUCUCUAGGUGGCGAGUGGCGGACGGGUGAGGAAUACAUCGGAAUCUGCCCAGUCGUGGGGGUAACGGAGGGAAACUUAAGCUAAUAACGCAUUAGACCUUCGGGUGAAAGGAGGGGAUCGCAAAGCCCUUCGCCAUUUGGUUAGGCGAUGUCGGAUUAGCUAGUUAGCGGGGUAAUGGCCCACCAAGGCGACGAUCCGUAGCUGGUCUGAGAGGAUGAUCAGCCACACUGGAACUGAGACACGGUCCAGACUCCUACGGGAGGCAGCAGUGGGGAAUAUUGGACAAUGGGCGCAAGCCUGAUCCAGCCAUACCGCGUGGGUGAAGAAGGCCUUCGGGUUGUAAAGCCCUUUUGUUGGGAAAGAAAUCUUUCAGGCUAAUACCCUGGGAGGAUGACGGUACCCAAAGAAUAAGCACCGGCUAACUUCGUG